CGUAGGUGAACCUGCGGAGGGAUCAUUACACAAAUAUGAAGGCGGGCUGGAACCUCUCGGGGUUACAGCCUUGCUGAAUUAUUCACCCUUGUCUUUUGCGUACUUCUUGUUUCCUUGGUGGGUUCGCCCACCACUAGGACAAACAUAAACCUUUUGUAAUUGCAAUCAGCGUCAGUAACAAAUUAAUAAUUACAACUUUCAACAACGGAUCUCUUGGUUCUGGCAUCGAUGAAGAACGCAGCGAAAUGCGAUAAGUAGUGUGAAUUGCAGAAUUCAGUGAAUCAUCGAAUCUUUGAACGCACAUUGCGCCCUUUGGUAUUCCAAAGGGCAUGCCUGUUCGAGCGUCAUUUGUACCCUCAAGCUUUGCUUGGUGUUGGGCGUCUUGUCUCUAGCUUUGCUGGAGACUCGCCUUAAAGUAAUUGGCAGCCGGCCUACUGGUUUCGGAGCGCAGCACAAGUCGCACUCUCUAUCAGCAAAGGUCUAGCAUCCAUUAAGCCUUUUUUCAACUUUUGACCUCGGAUCAGGUAGGGAUACCCGCUGAACUUAAGCAUAUCAAU
Molecule: ribosomal RNA, 557 nt
Filed under: Alternaria arborescens
Lineage: Eukaryota; Fungi; Ascomycota; Dothideomycetes; Pleosporales; Pleosporaceae
Description: eukaryotic LSU rRNA
Rfam family: 5.8S ribosomal RNA (bases 194-347)
Source: RNAcentral